GCUCGCAUUUGCUGCUGGGAAACUUGUCUUUGUUGUUCUCCUUUUUCCACUUCAUCCUCCUGUUCUGGAACCAGAUUUUGACCUGCCUCUCUGUCAAGCCCAGGGCGUGCGAGACCUCGAUCCUCCGCUUGCGGGUCAGUGUCUUUUCAUGAUCAUUUGCAUCUAUUACCGAACCCUCACCCGAUUGGCUUCUCCUUACUCCACACGGACUCGGCUCCGCGUGAUGGGACAAGAAGCCGAGGGCGAGGAGAGAAGGGGAGAAAUUUCCAUUUAUUGGCGAGGGGCGAGAGCGGCGCCCGCCUUGCCCCUCGGAUGCCAGCGCUGCAAUUUUCCAGCGCCGGAGCACACAGGGGGUAGAUUUGGAAAUUCAUUUCUGGCGCUCAGCAAAUAUUGCUCCGUUAAUAACGACUCCGAGCGCUCCCCGUCCCCGCUCCCAGCUGGAUUUCCCAACCUCUCUUUUCCACCUCAAUUUGGGGUUUUUUUUUUCCCCCGUUUUGUCCCGCUUGGGUUUCUGCUCUCUCCGUCCGAGGCAAAAAUUGAAUUUUGGGAGGGUUCCGCUCCAGCUCAGGGACAAAAUUCCACCUAAACCGCCCCCAAAAAAGAGGGAAAAUUGGAAUAUUUCAGCUCUUCUCCCUCGGUUUAAAAAGAAAAAAUAAUUAAAAACCCUCAGAGGGGAAAGGCAGGGAGCGAAGGAAAAGAGGAAAAAAAGAGAAAGAAAACAAAGAUAGCAACGGAAUAAAACUUUAGAGGCGUCCUUGGAGAAAUAAUUUGAGUGAAUUCGCUGCCUUGAUUUUGUGCGGGGAUAAUUCCAGGCGAGCCUAAGAGCCUUUCCCGGUAAUUAUUGCUGCUGGAGCCAUAAUUGAGGCGGUUUAGGCUUUUUCCGCCCAAGACGAGUUAACAUUUUCUUUUUUUCUCCCCGCUUUUAUUGCCGGUGGAGCAGAUUUGGGUUUCGUAAAAACGUUUUUUUUUUUAAAAAAAAACCCCUAAAAUGGUGCGGGGAAGUGAACAGAGCUUUGUGAGCUGGCAAAGGGGAUGCUGGAAUAUAUAAAAAUAAUAAAAAAAUGAAAUUAAA
Long non-coding RNA from Haemorhous mexicanus (house finch), 1072 nucleotides. RefSeq lists it as uncharacterized. The record is from RefSeq and is a predicted model, not a curated record. The transcript is spliced from 3 exons. Lineage: Eukaryota; Metazoa; Chordata; Aves; Passeriformes; Fringillidae.